Long non-coding RNA from Crotalus tigris (Tiger rattlesnake), 972 nucleotides. RefSeq lists it as uncharacterized. The record is from RefSeq and is a predicted model, not a curated record. The transcript is spliced from 3 exons. NCBI's taxonomy places the organism in Eukaryota, Metazoa, Chordata, Lepidosauria, Squamata, Viperidae.
UGUAUGUAACAAGUAUACAAGAAGCAAUAAACUCAGAGUUUGUCAAGCUGUGUCCUGCAGCUUCAAACCUCUGCUCAAGACAUGCCUGCAUCUUUUUCUUAGCGUCUUACAGUCCUGAAUUCCAGGGAUGUAAAGAUUCAGCAGGAAUCUUUAUUUACUAGCUUUUAUAAGUCCCAUUCCACAGACUUACUGUAUAUGUACUAGUGAAUCCUAACGAAAGGGCUCAGAUGAAAAGUUUUUGUCAUCAUUUAUUGGCCUUUUUAAUUUCCCUUUUAUGCUUACACUGCUAGAUCACAAACCACACUUUUUAAAACAUCAGAUAGAAAUCUAGCAGGAGUAUCUGCAAUAAUGUAUGAAUAAAAAGCAUGAUGAUCAUCUUCAUAUUUAGGUUCCCUUACUUCCACUGUUGUUAAAUAAAAUUAUUCAUUUUUUACUAAGCUGCCCAGAAUCGCUGAGAGUGAGUGGGUGGCCAUAUAAAUUUUCUAAAUAAAUAAAUAUUAUUUUUUAAAACAUUUAAACAUUAAAGAUGGUAUUUUGGCAAGUGAAACUUUAAAAAAUUCCCAGGUAUUACAAAAUCCCUAACAGAUCAUCCAUCAUUUUUCAAAGCAAAUCAAUAAACGGUAUUUUAAUAAACUGAUUUAUGUUUUUAUAACUAUUAAAAUCUGUCAAUAAACACAUUAUACUUAAAUUUUGCUUUCAAAGGAAACAGGAAACUAAAUAGACAAACAGAAAAGAAAGUUGACAUACUCUUCAGAUGAGUCACUGGGCUUGGUGUUGAUUUUCACAAGGACAAGGAGCAUAUGCAUAAGGAGCCCUGUGGCACAGUGAUUAGAAUGCAGUAUUGGAGGCAAACUCUGACUACAACUUGAAGUUUAAUCCUGAUGGGGUUCAAGGAUGAUUCAGCCUUCCAUCUUUCUGAGGGAAAGUGAACAAAAGAAGAGGAAGAGGAAACUUGCUGAGGUUAAAGGCACC